RNAcentral lists this ribosomal RNA (398 nucleotides) under uncultured bacterium. Its description in RNAcentral is "partial 16S ribosomal RNA". It matches the Rfam family "Bacterial small subunit ribosomal RNA", at positions 523 to 918 of the family's 1533-position model. The record is from RNAcentral.
AUACGUAGGGUGCGAGCGUUGUCCGGAAUUACUGGGCGUAAAGAGCUCGUAGGUGGUUUGUCGCGUCGUCUGUGAAAUUCCGGGGCUUAACUCCGGGCGUGCAGGCGGUACGGGCAUAACUUGAGUACUGUAGGGGAGACUGGAAUUCCUGGUGUAGCGGUGAAAUGCGCAGAUAUCAGGAGGAACGCCGGGGGCGAAGGCGGGUCGCUGGGCAGUACCUGACGCUGAGGAGCGAAAGCAUGGGUAGCGAACAGGAUUGGAUGCCCUGGUAGUCCAUGCCGUAAACGGUGGGCGCUAGGUGUAGGGGUCUUCCACGACUUCUGUGCCGUAGCUAACGCAUUAAGCGCCCCGCCUGGGGAGUACGGCCGCAAGGCUAAAACUCAAAUGAAUUGACGGGG